CUUUCAGCAACGGAUCUCUUGGCUCUCGCAUCGAUGAAGAACGCAGCGAAAUGCGAUAAGUAAUGUGAAUUGCAGAAUUCAGUGAAUCAUCGAAUCUUUGAACGCACCUUGCGCUCC
RNAcentral lists this ribosomal RNA (117 nucleotides) under Bjerkandera sp. B1/1/1/6/A1. RNAcentral's name for it is "5.8S ribosomal RNA". It matches the Rfam family "5.8S ribosomal RNA", at positions 3 to 119 of the family's 154-position model. Rfam says of the family: 5.8S ribosomal RNA (5.8S rRNA) is a component of the large subunit of the eukaryotic ribosome. Lineage: Eukaryota; Fungi; Basidiomycota; Agaricomycetes; Polyporales; Phanerochaetaceae. The record is from RNAcentral.